RNAcentral lists this ribosomal RNA (500 nucleotides) under uncultured bacterium. Its description in RNAcentral is "partial 16S ribosomal RNA". It matches the Rfam family "Bacterial small subunit ribosomal RNA", at positions 30 to 523 of the family's 1533-position model. The record is from RNAcentral.
AUUGAACGCUGGCGGCAUGCCUUACACAUGCAAGUCGAACGGCAGCACGGGAGCAAUCCUGGUGGCGAGUGGCGAACGGGUGAGUAAAGUAUCGGAACGUGCCCAGUCGUGGGGGAUAACGUAGCGAAAGUUACGCUAAUACCGCAUACGAUCUAUGGAUGAAAGCGGGGGAUCGCAAGACCUCGCGCGAUUGGAGCGGCCGAUAUCAGAUUAGGGAGUUGGUGGGGUAAAGGCUCACCAAGCCGACGAUCUGUAGCUGGUCUGAGAGGACGACCAGCCACACUGGGACUGAGACACGGCACAGACUCCUACGGGAGGCAGCAGUGGGGAAUUUUGGACAAUGGGCGAACGCCUGAUCCAGCCAUGCCGCGUGCAGGAUGAAGGCCUUCGGGUUGUAAACUGCUUUUGUACGGAACGAAAAGGUUUGGCCUAAUAAGCUGAGCUCAUGACGGUACCGUAAGAAUAAGCACCGGCUAACUUCGUGCCAGCCGCCGCGGUAA